RNAcentral lists this ribosomal RNA (261 nucleotides) under uncultured archaeon. RNAcentral's name for it is "partial 16S ribosomal RNA". It matches the Rfam family "Archaeal small subunit ribosomal RNA", at positions 748 to 1008 of the family's 1478-position model. The record is from RNAcentral.
AGGGUGUAAACGCUGCAGACUUGGUGUUGGAAAUCCUUCGAGGGUAUUCAGUGCCGGAGAGAAGUUGUUAAGUCUGCUACUUGGGGAGUACGUCCGCAAGGAUGAAACUUAAAGGAAUUGGCGGGGGAGCACCGCAACGGGAGGAGCGUGCGGUUUAAUUGGAUUCAACACCGGAAAACGCACCAGGGGAGACUGUUACAUGAAACCCAGACUAAUGAUCUUGGUUGAUUUUCAGAGAGGAGGUGCAUGGCGUCAGUGACU